Long non-coding RNA from Anneissia japonica, 1188 nucleotides. RefSeq lists it as uncharacterized. The transcript is spliced from 6 exons. The record is from RefSeq and is a predicted model, not a curated record. Lineage: Eukaryota; Metazoa; Echinodermata; Crinoidea; Comatulida; Comatulidae.
UUCAAGGAAAUAGUGAACAGUAUAACAAACAGAUGCAAUCAUUUUAUUCUUAGACACAGCAUUAAAUUUGGACGGUUUCGUACUUAUUUUAAAGAUUAUAAAAGUUGCAAAGGAAGUAAAAUUGAAAGAACUUCAUACCAACAUCUAUAGAAGCUUUCAGAGGGGACACACAAACCAAAGACACUGCAUUAAAUUUGGACGGUUUCAUACUGAAUUUGAAGACUAUAAAAGUUGCAAAGGAAGUAGAUUGAAAGAACUUCAUACCAACAUCUAUAGAAGCUUUCAGAGGGGACACAAGCCAAAGACACUGCAUUAAAUUUGGACGGUUUCAUACUGAAUUUGAAGACUAUAAAAGUUGCAAAGGAAGUAGAUUGAAAGAACUUCAUACCAACAUCUAUAGAAGCUUUCAGAGGGGACACACAAACCAAAGACACAGCAUUAAAUUUGGACGGUUUCGUACUUAUUUUAAAGAUUAUAAAAGUUGCAAAGGAAGUAAAAUUGAAAGAACUUCAUACCAACAUCUAUAGAAGCUUUCAGAGGGGACACACAAACCAAAGACACUGCAUUGAAUUUGGACGGCUUCAUACUGAAUUGAGACUAUAAAAGUUACAAAGGAAGCAACAUUGUAAGAACUUCUAACCAACGCCUGUAGAAGCUUUCAGAGGAGCCACAAACCAAAGAAAAAUAUGGAAUACGUUUGGCUGUUUUUCUGCACACUAAUUUGCGUACAUUUUAAUCACGUCUCAACAAACUCCUCCCCCAAAAUGACUACAAUUAUUGCAACCACACCAUCAUCAACAACUGGAGACACCACAGCAGGCUGGAAUACAACCACACCAGACAAUGGAUCCAACAGAUUAUCUGGUGGUGCGAAAGCCGGCAUUAUUUGUGCUUCAAUAUUUGUAUAUUUUGUGGGACUGUGAUUGUUGUACCUUGUUUAAGAAUAAAAAAUCUAGCCAAAAUAACGCCACAGGCUUAACCAUUUACAUAGAAGCCGUACAAAAAAAACAAAACAAUUAACACAAAAUAUGUUCGAUAUGUUAAAUAUUUUUGUGGUAGUAGUAGUAAUAGAAUUUAAGGUGUUUGAAACAUUUAAUUGCGGUAAUUAAGCUAUGGGAAUUGGAUGAACAUUUUCCAACAGAACGUUUUGGUUUUGGCUUAAGGAUAAUGAUGAAGGCAUAAUGAUAA